RNAcentral lists this long non-coding RNA (199 nucleotides) under Malus domestica (apple). RNAcentral's name for it is "long non-coding RNA (MDOM_LNC015521)". The record is from RNAcentral. Lineage: Eukaryota; Viridiplantae; Streptophyta; Magnoliopsida; Rosales; Rosaceae.
UGGCAUGAGACAACAAUUAACCUCGAAUAAUGCGCGUGCCUCAAAGGGCAUUUUUGUAAAAUCCUUUAUUAAAACUUUAAAACUCUUAAAAUCAGGGACAGGCUGUCACACAUUCAUAUAAUUUUUCAUUUUUUUUAAUCUUAAAUGUACCCAUUCUCAAAUAUAUCAAUUUGUUAUAUGUAAAAUGUACCCUUUUUUU